Molecule: ribosomal RNA, 561 nt
Filed under: uncultured bacterium
Lineage: Bacteria
Description: bacterial SSU rRNA
Rfam family: Bacterial small subunit ribosomal RNA
Source: RNAcentral
GCUAAGACGGGUGAGUAACACGUGGAACCUUCCUAGAGGUACGGAACAACGCAGGGAAACUUGCGCUAAUACCUGUAUGUGCUCUUGCGAGGAAAGAUUUAUCGCCUUUAGACGGGCCCGCGUCGGAUUAGCUAGUUGGUGGGGUAAUGGCCUACCAAGGCAACGAUCCGUAGCUGAUCUGAGAGGAUGAUCAGCCACACUGGAAACUGAGACACGGUCCAGAACUCCUACGGGAGGCAGCAGUGGGGAAUCUUGGACAAAUGGGCGCAAGCCUGAUCCAGCCAUGCCGCGUGAGUGAAGAAGGCCUUCGGGUUGUAAAGCUCUUUUGUCAGGGACGAUAAUGACGGUACCUGAAGAAUAAGCCCCGGAAACUUCGUGCCAGCAGCCGGGGGUAAAUACGAAGGGGGGCUAGCGUUGUUCGGAAAUUACUGGGCGUAAAGCGUGGUGUAGGCGGCUAAGUAAGUCGGAUGUGAAAGCCCUGGGCUCAACCCAGGAAGUGCACUCGAUACUGCAUAGCUAGAGUACUGGAGAGGUUGGUGGGAAUUCUCGGUGUAGAGGUUG